AGUGAACGCUGGCGGUAGGCCUAACACAUGCAAGUCGAACGGCAGCACAGGAGAGCUUGCUCUCUGGGUGGCGAGUGGCGGACGGGUGAGGAAUACAUCGGAAUCUACUCUGUCGUGGGGGAUAACGUAGGGAAACUUACGCUAAUACCGCAUACGACCUACGGGUGAAAGCAGGGGACCUUCGGGCCUUGCGCGAUUGAAUAAGCCGAUGUCGGAUUAGCUAGUUGGCGGGGUAAAGGCCCACCAAGGCGACGAUCCGUAGCUGGUCUGAGGGGAUGAUCAGCCACACUGGAACUGAGACACGGUCCAGACUCCUACGGGAGGCAGCAGUGGGGAAUAUUGGACAAUGGGCGCAAGCCUGAUCCAGCCAUACCGCGUGGGUGAAGAAGGCCUUCGGGUUGUAAAGCCCUUUUGUUGGGAAAGAAAUCCAGCUGGCUAUACCCGGUUGGGAUGACGGUACCCAAAGAAUAAGCACCGGCUAACUUCGUGCCAGCCGCCGCGGUAA
Molecule: ribosomal RNA, 505 nt
Filed under: uncultured bacterium
Lineage: Bacteria
Description: partial 16S ribosomal RNA
Rfam family: Bacterial small subunit ribosomal RNA
Source: RNAcentral